RNAcentral lists this ribosomal RNA (465 nucleotides) under Vreelandella stevensii. RNAcentral describes it as "partial 16S ribosomal RNA". It matches the Rfam family "Bacterial small subunit ribosomal RNA", at positions 338 to 795 of the family's 1533-position model. Lineage: Bacteria; Pseudomonadati; Pseudomonadota; Gammaproteobacteria; Oceanospirillales; Halomonadaceae. The record is from RNAcentral.
CCUACGGGGGGCUGCAGUGGGGAAUAUUGGACAAUGGGGGCAACCCUGAUCCAGCCAUGCCGCGUGUGUGAAGAAGGCCCUCGGGUUGUAAAGCACUUUCAGUGAGGAAGAACGCCUGGUGGUUAAUACCCAUCAGGAAAGACAUCACUCACAGAAGAAGCACCGGCUAACUCCGUGCCAGCAGCCGCGGUAAUACGGAGGGUGCGAGCGUUAAUCGGAAUUACUGGGCGUAAAGCGCGCGUAGGUGGCUUGAUAAACCGGUUGUGAAAGCCCCGGGCUCAACCUGGGAACGGCAUCCGGAACUGUCAAGCUAGAGUGCAGGAGAGGAAGGUAGAAUUCCCGGUGUAGCGGUGAAAUGCGUAGAGAUCGGGAGGAAUACCAGUGGCGAAGGCGGCCUUCUGGACUGACACUGACACUGAGGUGCGAAAGCGUGGGUAGCAAACAGGAUUAGAUACCCCAGUAGUC